GAUGAACGCUGGCGGCGUGCCUAAUACAUGCAAGUCGAGCGAACAGACGAGGAGUUUGCUCCUCUGACGUUAGCGGCGGACGGGUGAGUAACACGUGGAUAACCUACCUAUAAGACUGGGAUAACUUCGGGAAACCGGAGCUAAUACCGGAUAAUAUAUUGAACCGCAUGGUUCAAUAGUGAAAGACGGUUUUGCUGUCACUUAUAGAUGGAUCCGCGCCGCAUUAGCUAGUUGGUAAGGUAACGGCUUACCAAGGCAACGAUGCGUAGCCGACCUGAGAGGGUGAUCGGCCACACUGGAACUGAGACACGGUCCAGACUCCUACGGGAGGCAGCAGUAGGGAAUCUUCCGCAAUGGGCGAAAGCCUGACGGAGCAACGCCGCGUGAGUGAUGAAGGUCUUCGGAUCGUAAAACUCUGUUAUUAGGGAAGAACAAAUGUGUAAGUAACUAUGCACGUCUUGUCGGUACCUAAUCAGAAGGCCACGGCUAACUACGUG
This 497-nucleotide ribosomal RNA is filed under the name uncultured bacterium. RNAcentral's name for it is "partial 16S ribosomal RNA". It matches the Rfam family "Bacterial small subunit ribosomal RNA", at positions 28 to 507 of the family's 1533-position model. The record is from RNAcentral.